CAUCUUUUUGUGUGACCACAUUUUACUGUUAUAGAUACACAUACGGAAAGCCUGUCCCUGGGCUGGUGACAAUUAAUGUGUGCAGAAAAUAUGCUCAAUACCAUUCCACCUGCCUGAAAAGACCUUCAAAACAAAUCUGUGAAGUAUUUAGUCAACAGGCAGACAAUAAAGGAUGUCUCACACAACUUAUAAAGACUCGUGCAUUUCACCUGAGAAAUAAAGGGUAUGAAAUGACCAUAGAAGUGGAAGC
This is a long non-coding RNA of Otolemur garnettii (small-eared galago), 250 nucleotides long. RefSeq lists it as uncharacterized. The record is from RefSeq and is a predicted model, not a curated record. The transcript has 2 exons. NCBI's taxonomy places the organism in Eukaryota, Metazoa, Chordata, Mammalia, Primates, Galagidae.